GUCGUCGCCGCGUGAUUAAACCCGGUGUGACACGGGGGGAAGCCACCCCGGCUGACGUGCCCGGGAUGGAUCGCUCCCCUCCCCUCUCCUCUCCUCCCCCGGCACGGGAUCUUGUGGCCGGUUUGCCACGACGAACGUUUCUUGGCGAUGAGCCGAUGACGGGACGGGACACGGGAGGAUUACUACGACUGCUAGCUCCUGUUCCUGGCUAGCUGCGUAGGUCAUUGAUGGC
RNAcentral lists this long non-coding RNA (232 nucleotides) under Setaria italica (foxtail millet). Its description in RNAcentral is "long non-coding RNA (SITA_LNC005348)". The record is from RNAcentral. Lineage: Eukaryota; Viridiplantae; Streptophyta; Magnoliopsida; Poales; Poaceae.